GCGCAGGUGGCGGAACUGGCAUACGCGCACGCUUGAGGGGCGUGUUCCUUCACCGGAUUGGGGGUUCAAAUCCCCCCCUGCGCA
RNAcentral lists this transfer RNA (84 nucleotides) under Candidatus Taylorbacteria bacterium RIFCSPHIGHO2_02_FULL_43_55. RNAcentral's name for it is "tRNA-Leu". It matches the Rfam family "tRNA". Rfam says of the family: Transfer RNA (tRNA) molecules are approximately 80 nucleotides in length. Lineage: Bacteria; Candidatus Tayloriibacteriota. RNAcentral also lists the same sequence under 4 other names. The record is from RNAcentral.